Molecule: long non-coding RNA, 2432 nt
Filed under: Salmo salar (Atlantic salmon)
Lineage: Eukaryota; Metazoa; Chordata; Actinopteri; Salmoniformes; Salmonidae
Description: lncRNA (ENSSSAG00000087764.1)
Source: RNAcentral
AACAGAUGCAAAAUGCUUCAGAGGCAAUCAUAACAGGUGAAAUCGUAUGAUUAACCUGGACUUUGACUGUCCUUCCCUCUCUUCAAGUCAUGCCUGUGCAGUGCACACCACACUCCUCCCAAUGAGUCAUGACAUUAGGGGGUUGGCCAGGGGAGCGGUUAACAUUUGUUUUGACAUAGAGAAGACACAGCAGUUGACAGUGCUGGAGAGACUAAAAAACUGCUUUUUGUAUUUCAUCAGACACUUUCGCUAACUACGUUGUGUAUCUGUGACAUCUCUGUGUGAAAUGGUGUGACUGAUCGUCAACUCCUGCAGGUACGUGGUGCGGCGCAUCCGGGCUGCAGUGAGAAGGGGAGAGCAGCCAGAGAAGCCCACCGCAGCAUGUAGCCAGGCCAAGGGUGAGUGGGCUCAGCUGGGGCAAGAGGAGGCCUGGAGGUCCUUGGGCUCUGGGGCAUGGAAGGAGGAGGGUAUGCAGAAGAAUGGACAGGUGGAGCCGAUGUUCAAACCCCUGGUAACGGAGCCGGAACCAGGCCUGAAGGUGGCAGAGUGGGCCUCUGGUGAAUGACGUUAGAGAGGGCUGGAUAGAAAACAGGAGAGAGUGUGGAGGAAGGGAUGAGAGGAACAACUGUGUAAAAGAUGCACUGACUCAGUUGCAUUAUUAUCUGUAUCCUGUAAGACUAUAGCAGCAACCUCAUAUGUUGUCCUAUCACAUGCUAUGGAGAGACGCCCACUGCAUUAACUAAUCCUUGCUAAUGCCAUGUCAGUAUGAGGAGUUACAUGUACUGCAUGUUUUCUCUGGCUCAGUAUGAAAUUGUAUGACACUGACCUUGCACAUACAGAUGCAUUCACCUGCUAAUACAACGGAUCACAUUUACUGUGGAAAAAUUCACACAUUAGGUGCACACACACACACACACACACACACACACACACACACACACACACACACACACACACACACACACACACACACACACACACACACACACACACACACACUCUCCCCCUCCCACUCCACUCCUGUGGCCAGGUCUCUGUCCUUUGGGGUAGUCGAAGGUCAGAGUGAAAGAGUAACAAGCAGUAAUGCCCAGGCAGGAAGACAAAAACAAACCUUCUGCUGUUAAUAAAGAUACUGCCUCUAUUUCUUCACUGUAUUCUGGGAGAUGUAUAUUUUUUAUCAGUUGCAUGCUUAGAGGAAAUACAACAUAUGAAUAACAUUAUCUGGUGUGGGUUGACAACACAUAAUUACAUUGCCUUCAGAAAGUAUUCAUACCUCUUGACUUAUUCCACCUUAUGUUGUGUUACAGCCUGAAUUAAACAUGUAUUACGGACUAAACAUAUUAUGGACUAAACAUAUUUUAGUUUUUUUCACCUACCUACAGAUAAAACCAAAUAAUAACAAAGUGUAAACAUGUUUUUAGAAAUGUUGGCAAAUUUAUUGAAAAGGAAAUACAGAAAUAUCUAAUUUACAUAAGUAUUCACACCCCUGAGUCAAUACUUUGUAAAAGCACCUUUGGCAGCGAUUACAGCUGUGAGUGUUUCUGGGUAAGUCUCUAAGAGCUUUCCAAAUCUGAUUUGUGCAACAUUUGCCCGUUUGCCCAUCCUCAAUUCUCUUAUCACAGCCACUAAACUAACUAAACUCAGCAAAAAAAUAAAUGUCCCUUUUUCAGAACCCUGUCUUUCAAAGAUCAUUCGUAAAAAUCUAAAUAACUUCACAGAUCUUCAUUGUAAAGGGUUUAAACACUGUUUCCCAUGCUUGUUCAAUUAAUGAACAUGCACCUGUGGAACGGUCGUUAAGACACUAACAGCUUACAGACGGUAGGCAAUUAAGGUCACAGUUAUGAAAACUUAGGACACUAAAGAGGCCUUUCUACUGACUCUGAAAAACACCAAAAGAAAGAUGCCCAGGGUCCCUGCUCAUCAGCGUGAAAGUGCCUUAGGUAUGCUGCAAGGAGGCAUGAGGACUGCAGAUGUGGCCAGGGCAAUAAAUUGCAAUGUCCGUACUGUGAGACGCCUAAAACAGCGCUACAGGGAGGCAGGACGGACUGCUGAUUGUUCUCGCAGUGGCAGACCACGUGUAACAAUCUAGAAGAAAAAGAAACGAACACCAAUUAAGGCGAGGUGCUGGCUAGCGGAGUAGAAAACUUGAAAAUAAGCCAAGCUGUCGAAACGUUGGAUAUUACAUUUUUGCAUCUGUGCUCCUAGAGUGUGCAGCUCUCCCUUAUUUUCAAGACCACAUGUAACAACACCUGCACAGGAUCGGUACAUCCGAACAUCACACCUGCGGGACAGGUACAGGAUGGCAACAACAACUCCCCGAGUUACACCAGGAACGCACAAUCCCUCCAUCAGUGCUCAGACUGUCCGCAAUAGGCUGAGAGAGGCAAUAAGCUGACUGAGGGCUUGUAGGCCUGUUGUAAGGCAGGUCCUCA